GAAAAGUGUUAAUAAGAAUACUAAUGAAAUUUCAGAGAUAAUAAACCUAAAAGGCAUUGGAGUAUGUACUUGUUAAAUAUUAGUUGUUGCUGCUAUCUGGAUCUUAAGAUAUGUGAGUCACAAAAGAGUAAGGAGUGUCCACCUGAGAAGGAUGAAGAAGUGGUAACCUCAGGAAUAAGUUGAAUUCAGUUAUGCCAAAUGGGGAAAAUGAAUAUUGAGGAAUAAAUGAGUUAAUUAUCAUAGAAUUGGGGUUUCUGAUAGCACAAUAAAUGAGUGCUGCUUCAAUAAAGAAGUGAGCAAUAAAAGAAAGCAUGAAUCUAAAAUUUUUACAUAACAGGAUGGUUGUGUUGAAAAGACCAGAUAAUUAGAUUGGCCUAUAAUUUAGAUUAUGGACAAAAUUAUGAAGACGGGAAAGUCAGUUAGCUUAUAUGGCCACUAGAAUGAGUUUAGACCUCUCAAGUGUCAAUUAUGUUCAGAUGAAUUGUACCUUCUCUCAAGUGCUACACUCUCUUGGAUGGGAGAUAACUUUGUCCCCUGGUGAAAGCUUGCAUUGGUUGCUCAGGCACUGGGAAGCUGUUUUUGUUUGGAGUGUGCUUAUAUGCGUCCUGUAGGAGGACAGCUGAAAACCUGGUCUCCACCUGCUAAUCUGGUGGGCAGACGCCACAGUGCAGAGAAACCUGGUAUGCAGAAGAUGAAGACAUAGCACAACGUAAGUCAUGUCCUAUAGAUCUAUAUCACCUGUAAGGCAUAAUAUCCCAGCAUGUGCCUCUGAACUCACAUUCUGAAGGUGCAGCAAACAUGGAUGGGAUCUCUAGAGGAGUGGGCACCCGGAAUAUAUGCUUCUUGACCAUGCAGGCAAGAGUGGAAAAUUGUUAGUAUUUAGAUUUAUGUAUAUGGUAAUAUGAUUUAAACAUGUUUUGUUCACAUAUUUCUAUCUAAUGAAGUUAUCUUCCUGUCCUAAUGAGGUGGGUAACAAUGUGUCUCACUGUCACUGUUUUGGAGAUUUUGCUGAACUUGGUGAACUUGCUCUACUCUGGCCUGGACAGAAAAGAAAAGAAAAGCUUACACUUCUUGGUUUCCUUGUUCUGCCUUCCUAUUGUGAUGGGAAAAGACAACAUAGAGUAGAAAUUAACAAAGGAAUCUCUGGAGUGAGGCAUUCUGAAAUUUUACUGAAGCUCUA
This 1180-nucleotide long non-coding RNA is filed under the name Homo sapiens (human). RNAcentral's name for it is "non-protein coding lnc-ARAP2-1:4". Lineage: Eukaryota; Metazoa; Chordata; Mammalia; Primates; Hominidae. The record is from RNAcentral.